GACGAACGCUGGCGGCGUGCCUAAUACAUGCAAGUAGAACGCUGAAGGAGGAGCUUGCUCUUCUGGAUGAGUUGCGCACGGGUGAGUAACGCGUAGGUAACCUGCCUGGUAGCGGGGGAUAACUCUUGGAAACGCUAGCUAAUACCGCAUAAGAGUAGAUGUUGCAUGACAUUUACUUAAAAAGUGCAAUUGCAUCACUACCAGAUGGACCUGCGUUGUAUUAGCUAGUUGGUGGGGUAACGGCUUACCAAGGAGACGAUACAUAGUCGACCUGAGAGGGGGAUCGGCCACACUUGGACUGAGACACCGCCCAGACUCCUACGGGGAGGAGCAGGAGGGAAUCUUCGGCAAUGGACGGAAGUCUGACCGAGCAACGCCGGGGGAGGGAAGGAGGGUUUCGGAUCGGAAAGCUCUGUUGUAAGGGAAGAAAGAGUUGGAGAGUUGAAAGUUCACACUGUGACGGUAUCUUACCAGAAAGGGACGGCUAACUACGUG
RNAcentral lists this ribosomal RNA (495 nucleotides) under uncultured bacterium. Its description in RNAcentral is "partial 16S ribosomal RNA". It matches the Rfam family "Bacterial small subunit ribosomal RNA", at positions 28 to 507 of the family's 1533-position model. The record is from RNAcentral.